CGGAAGAUGUAACGGGGCUCAAACCAUGCACCGAAGCUACGGGUUCAACGCAAGUUGAGCGGUAGAGGAGCGUUCUGUAAGCCUGUGAAGGUGACUUGAGAAGCUUGCUGGAGGUAUCAGAAGUGCGAAUGCUGACAUGAGUAACGAUAAUGCGGGUGAAAAACCCGCACGCCGAAAGACCAAGGUUUCCUGCGCAACGUUAAUCGGCGCAGGGUGAGUCGGCCCCUAAGGCGAGGCAGAAGAGCGUAGUCGAUGGGAAACGGGUUAAUAUUCCCGUACUUCUAGUUACUGCGAUGGGGGGACGGAGAAGGCUAGGCCAGCAAGGCGUUGGUUGUCCUUGUUUAAGGUGGUAGGCAGAGAUCUUAGGUAAAUCCGGGGUCUUAAUGCCGAGAGCUGAUGACGAGCUUUCUUUUAGAAAGCGAAGUGGUUGAUGCCAUGCUUCCAGGAAAAGCCUCUAAGCUUCAGGUAACUAGGAACCGUACCCCAAACCGACACAGGUGGUUGGGAAGAGAAUACCAAGGCGCUUGAGAGAACUCGGGUGAAGGAACUAGGCAAAAUGGCACCGUAACUUCGGGAGAAGGUGCGCCGGUGAGGGUGAAGGACUUGCUCCGUAAGCCCAUGCCGGUCGAAGAUACCAGGCCGCUGCGACUGUUUAUUAAAAACACAGCACUCUGCAAACACGAAAGUGGACGUAUAGGGUGUGACGCCUGCCCGGUGCCGGAAGGUUAAUUGAUGGGGUUAGCGCAAGCGAAGCUCUUGAUCGAAGCCCCGGUAAACGGCGGCCGUAACU
Molecule: ribosomal RNA, 790 nt
Filed under: Bacillus velezensis
Lineage: Bacteria; Bacillati; Bacillota; Bacilli; Caryophanales; Bacillaceae
Description: partial 23S ribosomal RNA
Rfam family: Bacterial large subunit ribosomal RNA
Source: RNAcentral